Molecule: unclassified non-coding RNA, 200 nt
Filed under: soil metagenome
Description: partial internal transcribed spacer 1
Source: RNAcentral
CCGAGUUAGGGUCCGAAUGGGCCUGACCUCCCAACCCUUUGUUUACUUGACCCUAUGUUGCUUCGGCGGGCCCGCCUUUACCGGCCGCCGGGGGUGGCUGAACUCCCCUGGCCCGCGCCCGUCGAUGGCCCUCACCUUUUAAAACUCCAUAUAAGUCAUGUUGUCUGUCUGAGGACCAGCCUUUUUGAAACAAAAGCAAA